GAAAAAGGAAAAUGCCAGUGUUUGAUCACAUCACCGGGAAAUAUGAAAGAAAAUAUAUCUGCACUAAACAGCUUUGCUGUCCAGCUCAGGUGCUGAGAUACCAUACAGAUGUGGGCUGGAAUGGCUUUGGUAUUCAGGAGAAACCAAACAAAGUGAAGGAUAUGUAUAGUGCACUGUUUCCUAAAUAUCUGAUAAAUCCUGCUGUCUCACUCACAGCGAGGUAAAACAACACUGCUGGACCGCUUGCUGAGGUGGAGACUGGAGGGCAGAGGGCUGCAGCACAAAGCCUUCCAGUGCUGUGAAUCCAGUAGCAGCUAUAGAAGGAAAGGUUUUCGACAUGAGAUACCACAAAAUGUACACCCAGAGUGAAUCCCC
Astatotilapia calliptera (eastern happy) is the source of this 375-nucleotide long non-coding RNA. The record is from Ensembl. NCBI's taxonomy places the organism in Eukaryota, Metazoa, Chordata, Actinopteri, Cichliformes, Cichlidae.